CUACCUUGAAAUCAAAUUGGAAACUGAGUGGAAAAAUAGUUCUCCUCUUGACCCUCUCUGCGUUUAUACUCCAAUCUACACCCAACGCAUGGCUUUGUUGUACACUCUGUAUGAGUGCCCUCUAUAAUUAAACCUUUAUUCAAAUCUCCUCCUGCCUUCUUCAUCACCCUUGGUUAGAUCAAAACAGGAGAGGCAAAAAAAAAAAAAGGAACUUGUCUGGGGUGCAGAAGCAGAGAGGAAGAGAUACUAUUUAAUGAAGCAGGCUAACGGUGGUGGGGAGAGAAAGUCUCAGUUCUCCCAUCUCAGAAACAUUGAGCCUGGAAAUAUUGCUGAAAUCACAUUUGGGAACAAAGCUCCGCUUUAAGUAGGCUCACCCAUGAGUGUUGCUAAGCAAUGGAGAGAAGGCGAGAGAGGGAGAGCGCCUGACUUCAGGAUUAGAAGGAUAGAUAGAAGGAAAACCACUAAGGCUUCUAUGUAGCCUUAUUUAAAGUCAGCUUCCAAGUCCUAUGUUUUUCUUGCCUGUCUUCUGACCUAUUUGCACCACAAUUAAUCAAAUAUGGUUCAGUAUCACCACGCAUCCAGCACAGAGUUGCGCCGCGUCCUGGAGCUCUGGCACAAGCAGUUACGCACCAGAACUGUCAACAUGUCUCCACAUUGAACAGCAUUCCAGACACUUCCAAGAAGGUUGGUGCCAAGAGACUAUGCAGCGAGUCUGCUUCUCCAGCUGGAUGGACACUUGCUCUCCCCAACCCUUACACCACAGUCACGCUAAGGGUGCGACACUGCCUUAGUUGGCACACCCUCAGAUAUUCCCCAGCCUUGGGAACCAAGUUUGUCAUUCUUAACCAUUCUUAAAAGUAGUACUUAUAAGCCCGAAAGAGCAAACAGCUAGCACUCUCUUUAGGGUGUCCCUCUUCCCACCCCCCUUUUUUUUGGGGGGGGGGGGGGGGGGGGCAAGCUUUAAUAACCCAGAGGUGUGAACAGAUGAAAGUGAUUCUGCCAAAGCCAACAACUCAAAAUACAAAAUAAUUCUAUUCCCUGCCUGGUGACUUCUAAAUUUCCUUGGCUAGUCCUCAAAGUUUCUUGCAGAGACCAGAGGCCCUUAUCUGAUGGAAUUCAGCAUCAGUAACUUCAAAGUUGUGCUCUGCAGGCGUGAUGGGGAAAUCAAUCCAACCACGAUACGCAGUGAUUAGAUCAGCUAUUGCCACUCAGAAGAGAAAUGUGUGGACAGUCUUGUAUAAGCGUUAGCUCAGCAUUCAUCAACAAAGGAAAAAUGCAUCAGAGGAACAACACUUCAAGGAGCAG
Molecule: long non-coding RNA, 1305 nt
Filed under: Gallus gallus (chicken)
Lineage: Eukaryota; Metazoa; Chordata; Aves; Galliformes; Phasianidae
Description: lncRNA (ENSGALG00010020641.1)
Source: RNAcentral